Long non-coding RNA from Canis lupus familiaris (dog), 1271 nucleotides. RefSeq lists it as uncharacterized. The transcript has 5 exons. The record is from RefSeq and is a predicted model, not a curated record. Lineage: Eukaryota; Metazoa; Chordata; Mammalia; Carnivora; Canidae.
CGCAGCGUACCCGCAAGGAUAUUUUAGAAGGAGUCGUCAGGAGGGCCUGCUUCUGCCCAGGUUCCCUAUCUGUUUAAUGAAAAGACUAUUCAUGAGGGUGUGUGGAUUGGGAGGCCACGCUCAAGUUCCCAGCCGAAUUCUUUCCCCGGAGUGUGCAGUUGACAAACGUCCUUAGGAUCUGAGCGAAGGCGAGCGGGAGAACAGGUGGCAGUAGGAGGAGGAAGGAAGGCGAGAAGAGAGGGAGCAAACAAGCCCGUAUCGUGGUGACCAAGGAUCCGAGAGAGGACACGCUGUCAAGUAGAAGGGUGACAAGAGAAGAACUGUGUGUUGCAAGGUCUGGAAGCCUACUCAACUUACGGGUCUGGAAACCAAGAGGCAUGAAGCAUAUCUAUCUUCAAGGACGCGUCUUCAAGGCUCCAUCUUCAAGGAUCUUAUAGCACAGUGGGGGAAGACAGACGUGCGGACACAGAUGUUCUAAAGAAAGGGACAUGCGGUUGAGGGUAUGCAUUCCUGUCGAGAGAGCUGUGUCUGAAGAGUGGAACCAGCCUCCGUUCGCUGCAGGACUUUGAGGGGGUUACUAUGCACUCCUGUAGCUUCAUUGAUGAAGUGGAGCCGAUUCUAUACCUGCUCCGGAAGGUGCAGAAUCUGAGGCUCAGAGAGGUCAAGUCACUACUCAAAGGUUGCAGAGCAAGGAAGACCCAAAAGGAAAAUUCGAGCCCAGCUGUUUCAGACCCAGUGCGGGCUUGCCAGCUUGCUGAGAGAAGACCAUGGAGGACCCCUGAGACCUUGCCGUGGAAUGUGCAUCCACACCCAUUGGGGCGUAAGAGAGUGAGUGUGCAGGAAGGAUAGGGACACGCUUUAUUCCUGCCCGGAGACAGUAUGGACAUCGUCAUCAGAGAGUUAGCUAUCAGUACUUGGGGGCUCUCAGGAAAAUGGUGAAAGGCGAUGAAAUGGACAAAAAAAAAAUUAUUGGGGGCUGUGUCUGGCCCACCCUUCUGGGUUAUAUCUCCCUUUCCAUGUCUUUGAGCCAUUUACCACCCUGAAAUUCCAAGAAAACCCAUAAUAAUGCAAGGGAUUAUUAAUCCCUAGAGUUGCAAAUUGUGUCCAGUGGAGAUGAGUUGACGGCUGCCCAAUAGAGAGUAACCAGUUUUGCCUGCCUGCCUACGUGUGCUCCUUGAUUUCCCCCUUUGAAUGGGUUGUAACGUCUUUCUGGUCCCCUCACUAAUUCAUGAGUUCAAUAAAAUAUUUGGCAUAUGCUCCUGUCAUAUUUA